Molecule: long non-coding RNA, 276 nt
Organism: Dipodomys ordii (Ord's kangaroo rat)
Lineage: Eukaryota; Metazoa; Chordata; Mammalia; Rodentia; Heteromyidae
Exons: 4
Source: RefSeq, a predicted model, not a curated record
GGAACAGUGACCGUUUUGGACACUGACACCGCCUUAAUUCUUUGAGGUUGCAGGGCCGUCGGGCACAGGUACUGCGGAUGGAACCAAGUAUAUUGUGUGUGCUGUGUAAGCACUCAACCACUGACUACAGUACCAGUCCUUAGCAUCACUGACUGACUUGGACCUGAGGCUGGCCUGUGUCCAUGGUCAAAUUAAUAGAAUUUAGGAGAGGCCAUUGUUAAAGAGGAGAAAUGACAAGACUGGGGAAGGCUUCCUGUAGGAGACAUGAGUUUUGAC